Molecule: ribosomal RNA, 335 nt
Filed under: uncultured Lactobacillus sp.
Lineage: Bacteria; Bacillati; Bacillota; Bacilli; Lactobacillales; Lactobacillaceae
Description: bacterial SSU rRNA
Rfam family: Bacterial small subunit ribosomal RNA
Source: RNAcentral
AAAGAUGGUUUCGGCUAUCACUUCAGGAUGGGCCGCGGUGCAUUAGCUAGUUGGUAAGGUAACGGCUUACCAAGGCGAUGAUGCAUAGCCGAGUUGAGAGACUGAUCGGUCACAAUGGAACUGAGACACGGUCCAUACUCCUACGGGAGGCAGCAGUAGGGAAUCUUCCACAAUGGGCGCAAGCCUGAUGGAGCAACACCGCGUGAGUGAAGAAGGGUUUCGGCUCGUAAAGCUCUGUUGUUGGAGAAGAACGUGCGUGAGAGUAACUGUUCACGCAGUGACGGUAUCCAACCAGAAAGUCACGGGCUAACUACGUGCCAGCAGCCGCGGUAAAU